AUAUAUUUCCCAUAUACCAGUAUAUCAAAGAAAUACUCGAUCUGCAUAUAAAAAAAACUAUUAGCUAUACAGAAUGAACCAUCAAUACACAGGUGUUGCAAUAAUGGACAUUAUAAGUGUGAUGUCAUAGAAUACAGACUAUUAGUACUUGAACACUGCAGUGAGAAAGAGUUUUUCUUUUGAGAUAGAGAUCUUGUAUUGAGCCAAUGCUAAUAUCAAAAUUAUAUCAAUAUAUCGAAAGACUGAAAACAUUUAACGAACCAUGCCUUGGUAGGAAAUCAAUAAUCAGAAACAGAGGUCCUUAGGUGCCUGAGAAACAUCCUAGGGAUAACGUGGUCAGAUACUAUCAGCAAUGCAGACCUACGGAAAAGGACCAAACUGUGGUAGUUACAGCAUCAGAAGACACAGAUGGAACUGGAUAGGUCACACACUGAGGAAAGUGAACUCCAAGCAAGGUAGUUACAGCAUCAGAACACACAGAUGGAACUGGAUAGGUUACACACUGAGGAAAGUGAACUCCAAGCAAGCUCUAGAGUGGAGCCACCGAGGACAACGAAAGCGUGGAAGGCCAAAAAAUCUAGAUGUGUCGGCACAACCACGAAUGUCCCUGCCUGCAGUAAAGUCAAAUGUAGAAAAUCCAUUGAAGUAUAGCAUUGAAUGUGUUAUUUAGAUUGUAUGUUACACACAUUUAGUACAAUAAAAAACUUAUCAACAAU
Long non-coding RNA from Ostrea edulis (European flat oyster), 716 nucleotides. RefSeq lists it as uncharacterized. The transcript is spliced from 2 exons. The record is from RefSeq and is a predicted model, not a curated record. NCBI's taxonomy places the organism in Eukaryota, Metazoa, Mollusca, Bivalvia, Ostreida, Ostreidae.